Molecule: ribosomal RNA, 408 nt
Filed under: uncultured archaeon
Lineage: Archaea
Description: bacterial SSU rRNA
Rfam family: Archaeal small subunit ribosomal RNA
Source: RNAcentral
GCGCGAAACCUUUACACUGCACGACAGUGCGAUAAGGGGACCCCAAGUGCGAGGGCAUAUAGUCCUCGCUUUUGUGUACCGUAAGGUGGUACACGAAUAAGAGCUGGGCAAGACCGGUGCCAGCCGCCGCGGUAAUACCGGCAGCUCAAGUGAUGACCGAUAUUAUUGGGCCUAAAGCGUCCGUAGCUGGCCGCGUAGGUUCGUCGGGAAAUCCAUCCGCUCAACGGAUGGGCGUCCGGCGAAAACCACGUGGCUUGGGACCGGAAGGCUCGAGGGGUACGUCCGGGGUAGGAGUGAAAUCCCGUAAUCCUGGACGGACCGCCGAUGGCGAAAGCACCUCGAGAAGACGGAUCCGACAGUGAGGGACGAAAGCUGGGGUCUCGAACCGGAUUAGAUACCCUGGUAGUC